AUUGAACGCUGGCGGCAGGCCUAACACAUGCAAGUCGAGCGGAGCGGCGGACGGGUGAGUAAUGCCUAGUAAUCUGCCUGGUAGUGGGGGAUAACGUCCGGAAACGGGCGCUAAUCCCUCAUACUAUAAGAUUAGCCUAGGUCGGAUUGGCUAGUUGGUGGGGUAAAGGCCUACCAAGGCGACGAUCCGUAACUGGUCUGAGAGGAUGAGCAGUAACACUGGAAGUGAGAGACGGUCGAGACUCCUACGGUAGGCAGCAGUGGGGAAUAGUGGACAAGGGGCGAAAGCCUGAUCCAGCCAUGCCGCGUGUGUGAAGAAGGUCUUCGGAUUGUAAAGCACUUUAAGUUGGGAGGCGUUACCAACAGAAUAAGCACCGGCUAACUUCGUGCCAGCAGCCGCGGUAAUUC
RNAcentral lists this ribosomal RNA (407 nucleotides) under uncultured bacterium. Its description in RNAcentral is "partial 16S ribosomal RNA". It matches the Rfam family "Bacterial small subunit ribosomal RNA", at positions 30 to 526 of the family's 1533-position model. The record is from RNAcentral.